Molecule: long non-coding RNA, 1670 nt
Filed under: Diabrotica virgifera virgifera (western corn rootworm)
Lineage: Eukaryota; Metazoa; Arthropoda; Insecta; Coleoptera; Chrysomelidae
Description: uncharacterized LOC126889660
Source: RNAcentral
UAUUAUUUAAAUAUGAGUGCCAAGAAAGCUUACACUAAAAGAACUUGCUUCGUACCGGGAUUUAUAUCGAGUUAUCGUUCCGAUAAAAAAUUCAAAAGGGAACUUAACGAAGUUAAUAAAGACUUUUUAUAAAGAUUUGUCUUUAUGUUAUUUAUAACGUUCGUGGAUUAAACCUAUUCGUUUGUAUGUUAUUUCCUUCGGUGUAAAUAAAAUUUGUGCCUAUUAUUGGUUUUUAUUUUAACCUGAAAAUUAUAGUGAUAAUAGUAGGACGAUCUUGAAAGUUUUUCUGUCGAAACAAUGCAUUUUUUGAGACAAAAUAUUUCACAAAAAUUAACAUUAAUUUUAUAAAAGUCAGACUAUCGUCUGCGUAGUUUAUAGACAUAUAUUUUUAUUAACUAAAUUUAAACAUCUGAUAGGUAAGCUUUCAGAAUAUAGAUAAAUGAAGUAUUAAAAAAAAGCAGUUUAAAUUUUGAUAAAAAGAAUACCUAAUUAAAAAAAAUUGAUCAAUAAACUUCAAAUUAUUUAAAUAACUUUUUAAACUUUUUAAAAACAAUUACGUACAGUUAAGUCAAUUUUUUCAACUAACAAACUUUUUAAUAUCAGUUACAAAGAUAUUAAAAAAUUAAUUUGCCGUUGAAAUACCAUUGGUAUAUAAAUGUGGCAGUUAGAUAAUGUGACAAAAUAUUUCCGCUUCAAAAUAAGCUGUCCUACAUAUUAAAGUAAUGACAAAUUUAAAUUUGAUGUCACAUCUCCAUCUACAAUGGUAUAUAAAGAAUACACUUUUUACCACACGUCGAUACAAGAAUCUACAGGUCGAGCAAGUCUCGUAAAUUUCACGAUUGCGAGCCACGCUUCACGCAACCGUGUUUGCGUACUUGUGUUUCGAGUUGCGUGGUCGUGCGGAGUUAUAUUUACCAAAUUUAAAUAUAAUCGUUUUCAAAAUUAAAUCAAUAUGGCUACUGGGUGUAAAAGAUAAAUCUUAUUCUAUCUGUUCUUAAUGAGUUUUAGAUAAUUUUAGUUGUAUUUCUUUGUAAUUUUGUGUUGUACAAAGAUUAAUUUAACAUUUUCUCUGGAAGUAUUAAUUUAGAAAGAUAAUAUGCUUCAUUGGUGUUGUGUUUUGAAGUGUGAAAUGCAAAGUAAUUGUGAUAGUUAAAUGCAAGAUAAAGUUCACUUUUAAACUGAACUAAAUAAGGUAUCUGAGAGACAACAAUGGUUAAAUGCAAUACAAUGUACAGGUUUUACUAGCGAAAUGAAAAUUUUCCUGUCCUGUCUGCUGUAAUCAUUUUAUAUCUGGAAAACCAGCCGACUUAAUCGAUAAUAACAAUCUCCAGAUUGGGUUCCUUCAAUAAAUAUGGUCUAUAAACACAAUGAAAUAAGUUCCCCAAACUCUAAAAUGGAGUGGUAUCAAAGGAGAAUUAAAGGGAAAAAUAUUCAUAUUGAAAUUAUUUAUAAGGCACUGGACUGUCUUAAAUUCUACAAUAAUACUAGAAUCAGCUGAGAGAAGUGGUCUACAAAAAACCAUGAAGGAAACGGAAUAUGUGGCUACGAAAGGCAAAAGAAAGGUUUACAAAGCAAAUGUGACACAUCUUUUUGAAAUAUUUAGGAAUAUCAGUAAAUUGCAUUGAAAAAAUGUAUGAAAAGAUUUUGUUCAAUAAAAAUGUUUAUAUUUA